UACGUAGGGACCGAGCGUUGUCCGGAUUCAUUGGGCGUAAAGAGCUCGUAGGCGGCUGUUCAAGUCGAACGUGAAAACUCGGAGCUCAACUCCGAGCCUGCGUUCGAUACUGGACGGCUAGAGUCUGGUAGGGGGAUCUGGAAUUCCUGGUGUAGCGGUGGAAUGCGCAGAUAUCAGGAGGAACACCGGUGGCGAAGGCGGGAUCCUGGGCCAGUACUGACGCUGAGGCACGAAAGCCAGGGGAGCAAACGGG
RNAcentral lists this ribosomal RNA (253 nucleotides) under uncultured bacterium. Its description in RNAcentral is "partial 16S ribosomal RNA". It matches the Rfam family "Bacterial small subunit ribosomal RNA", at positions 524 to 776 of the family's 1533-position model. The record is from RNAcentral.